UACGGAGGGGGCAAGCGUUGUUCGGAUUUACUGGGCGUAAAGGGCGCGUAGGCGGCUUUAUAAGUUACUUGUGAAAUCUCUGGGCUUAACUCAGAGCGGCCAAGUAAUACUGUAGAGCUAGAGUGCAGAAGGGGCAACUGGAAUUCUUGGUGUAGCGGUGAAAUGCGUAGAUAUCAAGAGGAACACCUGAGGCGAAGGCGGGUUGCUGGGCUGACACUGACGCUGAGGCGCGAAAGCUAGGGGAGCAAACAGG
Molecule: ribosomal RNA, 253 nt
Filed under: uncultured bacterium
Lineage: Bacteria
Description: partial 16S ribosomal RNA
Rfam family: Bacterial small subunit ribosomal RNA
Source: RNAcentral